AUACCCCAUGGUGCUCAGGUCCGCCGCAUCUCCUGGGUCGUGGGGUCGGUCGGCAGGUAUAUGAUUGUUUGCGGUUCCUCGUGCCGUUAUUAUGUGCCCGCCGACCCCCUU
Molecule: small RNA, 111 nt
Filed under: Rhizobium oryziradicis
Lineage: Bacteria; Pseudomonadati; Pseudomonadota; Alphaproteobacteria; Hyphomicrobiales; Rhizobiaceae
Description: EcpR1
Rfam family: EcpR1
About the family: Perviously named SmelC291, SmrC10, or Sra33. According to its overproduction phenotype it was renamed Elongated Cell Phenotype RNA1. Induced by stress,EcpR1 negatively regulates cell cycle master regulatory genes dnaA and gcrA at post-transcriptional level by base pairing between its strongly conserved GC-rich loop and the target mRNAs.
Source: Rfam by way of RNAcentral